Molecule: transfer RNA, 72 nt
Filed under: Dendronephthya gigantea
Lineage: Eukaryota; Metazoa; Cnidaria; Anthozoa; Malacalcyonacea; Nephtheidae
Description: tRNA-Gln
Rfam family: tRNA
About the family: Transfer RNA (tRNA) molecules are approximately 80 nucleotides in length. Their secondary structure includes four short double-helical elements and three loops (D, anti-codon, and T loops).
Source: RNAcentral
GGUUCUGUGGUGUAAUGGUUAUCACUUCGGACCCUGAAUCCGGGAUUCCGAGUUCAAUUCUCGGUAGAACCU